This 511-nucleotide ribosomal RNA is filed under the name uncultured bacterium. Its description in RNAcentral is "partial 16S ribosomal RNA". It matches the Rfam family "Bacterial small subunit ribosomal RNA", at positions 28 to 523 of the family's 1533-position model. The record is from RNAcentral.
GACGAACGCUGGCGGCGUGCCUAAUACAUGCAAGUUGAGCGGAAGUUGAAGAGCUUGCUCUUCAACUUUAGCGGCGGACGGGUGAGUAACACGUGGGCAACCUGCCCUGCAGAUCGGGAUAACUCCGGGAAACCGGUGCUAAUACCGAAUAGUUUUGGGUCCCUCCUGGGACCUAACGGAAAGACGGUUUCGGCUGUCACUGCAGGAUGGGCCCGCGGCGCAUUAGCUAGUUGGUGGGGUAACGGCCCACCAAGGCGACGAUGCGUAGCCAACCUGAGAGGGUGAUCGGCCACACUGGGACUGAGACACGGCCCAGACUCCUACGGGAGGCAGCAGUAGGGAAUCUUCCGCAAUGGACGCAAGUCUGACGGAGCAACGCCGCGUGAGUGAUGAAGGUUUUCGGAUCGUAAAACUCUGUUGCGAGGGAAGAAACCGUGCCAAUUAACUACUGGCACCUUGACGGUACCUCGCCAGAAAGCCAGGGCUAACUACGUGCCAGCCGCCGCGGUAA